GCGCGAGCUGGGGAUGGUGGGAACCAGGGUUCCCACCUGCCCGGGGGCGCCAUCCCUCCGCUACCUGUCCCGGGCUCCUCUGGACCAGCCCAUCUGGGGUUCCUGCUCCAAACCCUGAGAAGGGCAGCUGAGGCUGGACCAAGGGGUCAAUGCUCAGGGAGGUGACGCGCAGGCUGAGAUGGACCUGCUGCAGGCCCGCCCCAUCCUACUUCCACUCUGAUGCAGGUAGAUUAGACCGAGAGGCCAAACUCACAGAGCCAUUUAUUUGUUGCUUUGCCUAUCUGUUUACCUACACCCUGCCUUGCUGUAGAAUAGAGGUGACAGCAUUCAGCUCAGUAGGAAGAGGAAUUUUCUCAGACCGUCCGUGAUGAGACAGGCAGCCUUGGUGAGGUAGUGAGCUUCCUGUCCCUGGGAGUGUGCAAGCAUGGGCUGGACCACACUCAGAGGGAUGGAGGGGGGAUUCGAGCAGUGACUAGAGAUGAUUUCUCCAGAUAAAGCAGAGAUUUUCCUGCUUUCAGGGGUUCCUGGAAGGGCGCUUAGGCCCAGGUAAAUCCUGAAAGAUGCAGUCAGAUGCUGCAGCCACGCCUGUCUCUGGCCAGGGGCUCAUACCUUCAGCAGGUGCGCCUGAGUUUGCUGUCCCGGGAGUUCACAUGCUGCGCCUGGCUGCCGCCCUUCUCGCUGGGUGCGUUGACGCAGGUGCCCAGCGCCAGCAGGGAGCAGUUGAUGCGGACGCCCUCCUUCAUCCUCUUGCCUCGGUUCUGGGUCUGAGUGAGAAGAAGCCAGCUGGCGGGGAAGUGGUCCUCCCCCGCCCCCGACCCCGCCACCUCCCCACCCCAGGCCCCAGGGGGAGGGGACUGAGGUCCAGAGGAUGCGAUAACCCCAUCCCACCCUGGGAGGCUCAGGGUGGACGCACUGACUACACUCCCACAGCCCAGGGACUGGAGACAGAAACAACACCAGAUUCUGCAGUGGAAUACCACACAGCCAGGAAAGGGGGUGAGGUAGAGCUGUUUACCAAUGUUGAAAAGAUGCUCUCUGUGAAGUGAGAUAAAAAAAGGCUCAGACGGAUGCCUGGGCGGAACAGUCCCCUUUUUAUGAUAAAAAUAUGAACGCGUGUGUCUUCGCGAGAACGUCCCCCCACGCCGAAGCUUUCUUGUCCUCCCAGUCUCAGCCUAGAGGUCCUCCUGGGGAGCGCCCAGGCCCCCUCACCCCACGGGGGUACAUGCUACCCUGUAUAUUUCCUUCAAGUUGCUUAGCUCUCUCGGCAACUAUCUUGCUCUUUUAUGCGUUUGUUGUUUCCCUAACUGCUCCCCACAGAACCUAAGCUCCAUGACGGAGCUGUCAUCUGGGUUGGCCAUCUGUCCCCAGAGCCUGGACACCGGCAGGCGUCUGGCCCACAGUGUGGCUGGAUGUCUGAGCACUGAACAAAUGUAUAAAGAUGCCUGCAGGGGCCUUAGGAGGACACACGCCAAACUGCUGCUGGGAUGACUGCCUCUCAGUGCAGCCGUUGUGGGGACUUUAACUUUCUUCCUUUAGCUUAACCAUAUUUUCCAUAUCUUCUGCACUGAUUUGGUUACAUUUGAAAUCAGCAAGGAAAAUAACGUUUUCUCUUUAAGGGACAUGGGUUUUAGAGCCAGUUUGGAGCACGGCUUGAGAACGGCUUAAAUGACAUCUCAGACAGGUCUCCCAGCCUGUCUCAGUCUCCUUAUUUGUCCAAAGAGGCAGUUGCUGUGGCCAUGGUGAGGAUUUGGCGGGCAACGUGUGUAAGAGGCCAGCUCAGAGGUGGGCCCACAGAAGCGAGCAGCGAACGUGAGCUGCUCCUUUCACUGGGUGGGAGCUGCCGGCAUGACCAGGCCAUGGCAGCUGUCACGUGUCUGUGCCCCAGAAUUCGGGGGUUUUCUCAGACGCCUUGUGUCCUGGAACAAACUCCUCUGUGAGUGAUUUUCUGUGAAGAAAUGACAGACUGUGAGAGCCAACCAGACCUGAAGACAGCCCGCUGGGCCCCCUGAGCAUACAGCUUAAAACCAAGGCCCAGAGAGGGACAGGGGCCUGGCCAAAGGCACACAGCUAUUUGGAGCAGAGGGAGAACAAGAACCUAGGGCCUGAACCCCUGUCCAGUGGCCUCCCCAAGAGCUAAGAUCUGAGGAGGCUGGUCUCCACCUUGCCCCCUGAGCACAUGGCCGAGUCCAGCUGGCACGGGCAGACUCCCAGGGCUCCAGCACACUCGGCUUGGUCUACAUGAAACUGUCUGUACCCACAUCUGUCUGUGUAUGAACCGUCUUUUAUUUUCUGCAUCCUAAUGUUUUGUCAUCUUGGGGCCCUGCUGCCCCUCCCAGGGUUGCCAGUUCCUUCUGAUAACAAACAAGUCACCCGUGAGCACACCUUUCAAAAGCAAACCAGCCAACCCAGAGCCCUCACCCACCCCCUCCUCCUUGGGGCUCCCACACUCUGGGCCACUGUCUACCUGCCCUCAUCACCCAGGGCAGGAACCAGACAACCAGGGAUGGGCCCUGUGCCCCAGAGCCUGCUGGAAUUAUUCAAACUGGCCAGUGUUCAGCCUGCCUUCCCAUGGAAGUCACGAGAGAGGCUCUGGCCCGUGUUUUCCCCUUGUUCCCUCUGCCUCCAGACCAACCCUGGUGCUUCCCCGUGUGGCCCGGCCUGGCUUCUCCUGCCCCCUCCUCUUGGACCUGUGAGUAGCAAACUAUCUCUUCAAUGGCAGUCAUCUUCUGAUCUGCUGGCCUCACUGUACCUCAAAUUUCAUACCAUAUUAACACAUACAUUGAACCUGUCGGCCUCUGGGCCAGCUGGCCAGGCACCCAGGGCAGGGCCAGGCGCAGGGCAGGUGAAUGAGUGACUGAACGAAGCAAUGCAAUGACUGACAAACCCCCAGGACUCAGAGCGUAGCCUGCAAACCGGAGGACAAGUGUCAUCAGUGAAAGGCACGGACCUGGGCCGGAUCCCUCCAGGUCCAAAGGCCGGAUCACCUGAUACUUGUGUGCAGGCGCGAUCACACCACGCCGAGUCUCAGCCGGGCACGUGUAAACCAGGCGCGAGGCCGCCUGCCCUCCAGGUGUCGGGGGUUAGGGGGAUGGUGAACACGAAGCACCUGGCGCAUCAGAGGGACGUGAGAAUGUCCCUUGUUGACGAUAUUACUGCUGUUCUGACUUGGCCUCCAUCAGGCACCUUCUCUGUUCCUGGCGCUGGGCUGGGCCCUGUCCGCAAAGACUGCUCCGGCCCCUGGGGCAACGGUGAGCACAACCCUCGCUCCCAGCAACACGUGCCAACAAGAACAGCGAGCCAGGGGCGCGGGCGCAGGAGGCAGGUCCUUGGAGUGCAUCCCGACAGCCACCACCGCCACGCCGCUCCCUCCACCCACCAAACUCCUGAUGACCUUUCAGGCUCAGCCCUGAGGCCCCACCCUCCUCUGGGCUCCACAGCCUCUGUGUGACCCCGAAUCUCAAGGCACAGGCCUCCCCGUGCUGUAAUUACCAGCUAUACAUCUGUCUCCCGCCCACCCCCAGAGGCUCUGAGCCCCCCGAGGGUGAGGGUCUGGGGCUCGCUCAUCUUCACGUCCCUGGUGCCCGGGAGAGCCUGCCACACGGGAAGCCCUCCAUAAAUACUGGCUCCGCGGGAGUGACCCCCAAUACCUGCUGAGAAUUCAUUCACUCAGCAAACGUGUAGCGGGCACCUCCCCUCGACCGGGUGCUGUCCUAGGUGCUGGAGACAGUGUGCAACAAGGACGGACAGGGUCCUGCUCCCAGACUAAAGGGCAGAUGGACACAAGGUGAGUAACGGAGAUGAAGAGGACAGGAACCUGAGACGCCAGCUCCAAGCCCGCCAGGUCCACCAUGGAGAGCCUCCCAAUGUGCACUUCCUCUGCCAUGUCUGUGCCAUGGCUGCGCCGGUGCACAGUGACCUGCAGCACGGCGUGGGAGCGGGACGACAUCUUGCUGGUGGCGGUGGACUCCUGUGUGCGCUGCCAGUUGCCUUAGGUGAGGAGCUGCAUGGUCUGAGGACAGAGGCAGAAGCGGGCAGACAGUCAAGGGCCCCUGAGUGGCCACACGCUCCCUGCAGAACAAGAGAAGGAGACGUGCCCUCCAGAGCUCCUUAGGGCAGCUCUUCCCCAGCUGGGAUGCUGAUGGCAGAACCGCAUCCAGUGGAAGCAAUUUCUGGUUUGUGGCAUGAAGAGAUUAAUUAAUCGAGUCAACUAAUCCAGCAGGAAUGGCAGAUUGCUGACGCUUAUAGCACCACUUCUGCCUCCUCUACCCAUGGCAGACAUCACCAAUGGAUUACCCAUCUCUAACCCACCGAGCCCUUUUCCAUAUGGAACUCCAGGCAGUUGUACAGAUUUGCUGGAGUUGGCGGGUGGCCUGAAAUCCACUUGUGCACAAGCAGCUGUGGAAAUCAAGCCAGUGUGCCUCUGCUGGGCACCUACUGUGUGCCAGGCAUGCUAGGACCACAGAGCAUUGUGGAGAGAGACUCAUAUGGUUGUUGUUAUUAAAGAAUAGGCAAGAAGUCUCCCCUCCUGCACCUGGAACCCAUGAGGGACGGUGCUAAGGGCAGGUGGCCUCAUGCCUACGCCAGCAUGGCUAGAGCACACGGUUGUCCAGGGCCUGGGGGCCGAGGAGUCCAUGCUGUUCAGAGGCAAUUGGGAGCCUCUGAAAUGUUCUGAGCAGACGGGAGGCCCACCCCAAGGGCUGCACACAGAGAGACUGGAGGGAGAGAGAAAGACAGAGGGCUGCAGAAAUGUUUACAGCUCGCCCUCGUUAUGGGAGCCAGACUUAGGAUCAAGAUGGCAAACAGAUUUCAGACCUGAAGCCGACUCUGACCGCGACUGCCUGGAGUGCCGCCAAGCGUCUGGAUGCAGAGGGAAGAGUGCGUGAUCCAUGGGUGAUGUCUGCCCUGAGCACAGGGCUGUUGAAAGAACCAAAGGAACCAACGGAUGCAGAGGGACCAGUGCAAGGCCAGCACGUAUGAGGUGCUUUGUGCUGUUAGGAAGAGCUCUGCUGCCACCAACCUCAUUCCCUCCGGGGGACACCGGCCUUUGGCAGCACCUGAGGGGCCGUGGGCAAACACCGCCGCGUUGUAUCCAGAAAUGACGCCUUCCACUAGUGCUGGGGUGUGGCAAGGUACACGUCUUCCUGCGGACAGAUGGAAGGAAGACAGGCAAAUGCACACUCCGACCAGAGUCGGGCACCUGGCUGUCUGGAGAGGACAGGUGUAUGGUGCCUGCAAACGCCCUGCUCCCCCUGGACAUGGACAGGGACCUCCACGGUGGCAGCCAGCGCAGCCACGGCACGAGCCCCACCCCAGUCCUGCAGCCGCCUGGACCACGCCGAGCCCCACGGUGAGACCACGGUGAGCGAGGAUCGCACGAGAAUAGUUGCUGUGACGCUUGGAAGACAAGGCGUGACAAGCACUUAAGCACAGCACUUGGAAUGCACUAGCUGCUCAAUAAUUGAUGACCUGGUCCUUCUACUUCCGACACCAUUAAGAUCUCGGCAGCAGAAGACACCUGUCUGCUCGGAGAGCCGGGCCUGUUUCCCUGGCUGGGGUGUGAGCCCCUGUGGGCAGGGAGUGUGUUCUAGCCCCGUGGCGGACAGGACACGGCUUUGUUGGAUGGAUGGGUGGGUGGACAGACGGACACAUGGACACACAGAGGAAUAAAUGAGGAUGCGUGUAAAGCCCGGGCACCUGGCGGCCCCCGGCAUCCAUGGAAGGGGUCUGCUACCUGUCCCUGGAGUGACCCAGAGCACCAACUUCCUCGUUUAUCAGGGAGACCCCAUGAGACGUCACGGAUGAGGUCACCUGGCUGCCAAGCCCUCCCACAUGAGGACACCCUUGGCGGGCCUGGCCCAGCGGGGCCGUGGGCUGGUGGGUAGGGCCGGGCACCUGGGA
Molecule: long non-coding RNA, 5898 nt
Organism: Aethalodelphis obliquidens (Pacific white-sided dolphin)
Lineage: Eukaryota; Metazoa; Chordata; Mammalia; Artiodactyla; Delphinidae
Exons: 3
Source: RefSeq, a predicted model, not a curated record